RNAcentral lists this ribosomal RNA (232 nucleotides) under uncultured bacterium. RNAcentral's name for it is "partial 16S ribosomal RNA". It matches the Rfam family "Bacterial small subunit ribosomal RNA", at positions 335 to 583 of the family's 1533-position model. The record is from RNAcentral.
UUUCCUACGGGACGCAGCAGUGGGGAAUAUUGCACAAUGGGGGGAACCCUGAUGCAGCGACGCCGCGUGAGUGAAGAAGUAUUUCGGUAUAUAAAGCUCUGUCAGCAGGGAAGAAGAAAGACGGUACCUGACCAAGAAGCCCCGGCUAACUACGUGCCAGCAGCCGCGGGAAUACGUAGGGGGCAAGCGUUAUCCGGAUUUACUGGGUGUAAAGGGAGCGUAGACGGCAGGG